ACAUGUGCUGACACUGCAGAGGCCUGACGGAUGGAAGAUGUGGCAAUUGAGAUAGAGCAACUUCAGGUAUCCAUGAAAAAGGAACCACUUUUCAUGAAGACAUUGAUAAACAGACAUCCAAGAAUCCAGGAGGUGUAGAAUCAUGGCGCGCUCCCCAGAGGGAGGCAUCUCCUACCAGCUUGAGGUCCUGAGACCCACAGAGGGACUGUCUCUGCCCCAGAAAGGUGAAGACCAGAUGUAAGGUGAGUGAAUGAGUCAGGUUUUCACCAUGCUGGCCUCUGUCGCUGUCACCUGCGACCUUGAAUGCAGGAGGCGCUUGGGAGCGUGGGCGUGGGCACGCGUGCCUGAUGGUGGACAACUGGAGCAUAUUGGGCAGGCGUAAGUGUGCACACCUGGGCCUGGGGGCUGAGGAUUUAAGGGCAGCGACCUUCAGAGACAGUCUAAGGAGGGGCGACUACAGCAGAGCAGCUACGAGAGGAGACCAUGAGAGAAUCCAAAGAGGGUCCAAAUAGAAAAAGUAAAGAUUCACUGGUGUGAGCUGACCAGGAUGAACGGACAACACACACUGUGAGCUGCUGACCUAAGGGAUACUCUGAAGAUGACAGGAGGAACGCCCCACCCUGCUUCCUCCCUCCACGGAGUCCUCAGUUACCUGCAAGUAAACACCUGUGAGGACUGGACAAUCUGGAGGCCCACAAGG
Long non-coding RNA from Talpa occidentalis (Iberian mole), 700 nucleotides. RefSeq lists it as uncharacterized. The record is from RefSeq and is a predicted model, not a curated record. The transcript has 3 exons. Lineage: Eukaryota; Metazoa; Chordata; Mammalia; Eulipotyphla; Talpidae.